Molecule: ribosomal RNA, 900 nt
Filed under: CFB group bacterium epibiont of Rimicaris exoculata
Lineage: Bacteria; Pseudomonadati
Description: partial 16S ribosomal RNA
Rfam family: Bacterial small subunit ribosomal RNA
Source: RNAcentral
CGCAACGCGGCUUACCAUGCAAGUCGAGGGGUAACAUUACAGCUUGCUGUAGAUGACGACCGGCGCACGGGUGCGUAACGCGUAUACAAUUUGCCUUAUACUGGAGAAUAGCCCUGAGAAAUUGGGAUUAAUGCUCCAUAGUAUCUUAAAACGGCCUCGUUUAAAGAUUAAAGCUCCGGCGGUAUAAGAUGAGUAUGCGUCCUAUUAGUUUGUUGGUGAGGUAACGGCUCACCAAGACUACGAUAGGUAGGGGUCCUGAGAGGGAGAUCCCCCACACUGGUACUGAGACACGGACCAGACUCCUACGGGAGGCAGCAGUGAGGAAUAUUGGGCAAUGGAGGCAACUCUGACCCAGCCAUGCCGCGUGAAGGAAGACGGCCCUAUGGGUUGUAAACUUCUUUUAUACAGGAAGAAACGCAGAUACGUGUAUCUGUUUGACGGUACUGUACGAAUAAGGACCGGCUAACUCCGUGCCAGCAGCCGCGGUAAUACGGAGGGUCCAAGCGUUAUCCGGAAUCAUUGGGUUUAAAGGGUCCGUAGGCGGAUAAUUAAGUCAGAGGUGAAAGCCCACAGCUCAACUGUGGAACUGCCUUUGAUACUGGUUAUCUUGAGUUAUAGUGAAGUAGAUAGAAUAUUUUAGUGUAGCGGUGAAAAGCCUAAAUAUUUUCUAAAAAUACCCCCUGGGGGGGGGGGGGGCUCCCAACAAUAUACUGACCCCUCAUGGACGAAAAAAUGGGGGGGCGAACAAGAUUAUAUACCCCUGGUAGUCCACCCCCCCACACGAUGGAUACUAGAUUGUUGGUCUGCUUUGCGUAUCAGUGACCAAGCGAAAGUGAAUAAGUAUCCCACCCUGGCGUAGUACUGGUCGGCGAGAUUGAAUACUCAACUGGAAGUUGACUG